GCAAGUUUUAAAGACAAAAAUCCAGAAGGGGAAACAAAUAGAGCUGGUGGAGUGGGAACCAUGUUCCAUGUGUGGGAAGACGUGGCCUCCACAGUGGGUGGCAAAGGAGAAUACAAAGAACUAAAACAGCUACCUUCAGUAUUCUGUGGGCUGCUGUCCUUUUCCUUUUUUUAUAAUAUUUUGUUAAUUUAUUAUCCA
This is a long non-coding RNA of Melanotaenia boesemani (Boeseman's rainbowfish), 198 nucleotides long. RefSeq lists it as uncharacterized. NCBI's taxonomy places the organism in Eukaryota, Metazoa, Chordata, Actinopteri, Atheriniformes, Melanotaeniidae. The transcript is spliced from 3 exons. The record is from RefSeq and is a predicted model, not a curated record.